Molecule: long non-coding RNA, 5729 nt
Filed under: Sus scrofa (pig)
Lineage: Eukaryota; Metazoa; Chordata; Mammalia; Artiodactyla; Suidae
Description: lncRNA (ENSSSCG00035044897.1)
Source: RNAcentral
CAAAUCAUUAUAACAUAAAGUCAUUUUUUUUUUUUUUUCAUAAAGACCAAAUGCAAUCAUGGAGAGGCCACAUCCAGACACCACCCACCAAGUCUUACGGGGCGGGGGGCUUCAGACACAGCUUUCCUCUCCUUCCCCCCUCCCAAUGGUAUCUGCUCCAGUAAGGGAGGCAGUUGCUGUCAGGGUUCCCGCAAUGCUAACUGGAUCAGUUGACAAAUGAAAAAUUCACCCCAACCAUCCUUGCUCCAUGUCUCAACACAUCAGCCAGCCUGUCUGCAUUUCAUACAGGCAGCCAGGACUCAGACGGCAUGACCUCAAAUGAGUCAGCUGUUGAAGGACACAGCCUAGGAGGCACUGGAUGUUUGCUAUCCAGGGCAGCAAGGGGGUCCUCUCUUCUUGACACUGACUUCUUUCAACCCCGUGGAAGAAAGAAACGCUUUUAAUUUGAGAGCCAAGUGAAGAAACUGCCUGUGAACUAGACAGAUUUAACCAACCUCUCUUAGUAGGUAAGCCGAUUCUCCAAUGUAACCCUAUCUUUGUCACUUUGGGAAUGAGCUAAAAUGCCUAUGUCCAGGCCCACACCUGGAGCGUUUGAUUACAUUUUGAGAGACACCGCUAUGAGCUGUCAGAGUAAUGAACAUCUUGAAUCUUCCAAGGUUUAAAGAGAAUUUAUUGAGUGCUUAUGCUCUAGUUAUUACUCUGAGUUCUUUACCUGCACUCACUUAUUUUAUCUCCUUAAUAACUUGAUGAGUUAGAUAUAAUUAUCAGCUUCAUUUUACAGAUAAGAAAACCAUGGCCCAGAGAGGUUAAGGAACUAGCCUGAGGUCAUAUAGCCAGACACAAAGGAGCCAUGAUUCAAACUCCCAGCCUGGCUCCAGAGCCGUACCCUUCCCCCCAUGCUGGAACUGCCAGACUGAGCAGGGCCUCACAUGCUACCUCCAGACCCUAUAAAGGCUGGGUUAGGGACUGAAUGGACUGCAUGGGGAUUUCUUUUUUCUCUUUUUUUGCCUUUUAAGGCCACAUCUCUGGCAUAUGGAAAUUCCCAGGCUAGGAGUCCAAUUGGCAUUGUAGCGGCCGGUCGACACCACAGCUGCAGCGACGCUGUGGGAUCUGAGCCAUGUCUGUGGCCUACACCACGGCUCACAGCAAUGCCAGAUCCUUAACCCACUGAGUGAGGCCAGGGAUGGAACCCGAAUCCUCAUGGAUGCUAGUCAGACUCCCUUCCACUGAGCCACGAUGGGAACUCCUUCAUGGGGAUUUCUUGAUGCCACUCUCAAAACUCACCUGUCCUAUGUCUGUUCUCUCACAUUCCUGCUCUGUAGCCAGAAAUAAGCUAGGAAUAACCUUGAACUGCCUUUCAGGACCUUAUUUUUAAAGAUAAUUUUUCCCUUUCUGAUUACAAUUAUAAACUGAGUUUGGAGCAGCAUAUUGGUGCGUGUUAACAUCUUGUAGAACAAAUGAAUGAAUGAAUGAAUGCAUAAGUGACUCCGCAUGACCAGAAACAAGAGGAACCCUGUGGCACCCUAGGUAGCAGUCAUAUGAAUCCCGGGUGAAAUAUUAUCCCUGAUCACUGCUGGGUUUGGCGCUUCCCAAACACCUCAUUGGAAAUGGAGACAGUAAUUCAAAAGCAGCACUUAAUCAUAGUGUUAGAUGGUGCAGCUAAGCAUCAACAUCCACAUGCUUCCACAAGGAAAGAAGCAUGUUAUUAACGUUAAAUCAUCAGAGUAGGUUGCAGAAAGAACUGAGCAUGGAAUGAUGCCUUCCCAGUUCAGGGUCUAAAAGAUGGAUUGAGCAGUAAGUAACCCAAAUUUGUAGAUGAGGCCUUUGGUACCAACUGGCUGGGCAUUUGGGGGCAAGUCACUUUAACUCUAUGGGCCUCAGUUUCCUCCCUUGUAAAGGAAGGGGCAUAAAGCUGGUGGUCCCUCUAGAUUUAUGAUUCAAACCCAAGCUUCCCUUACCCUCAACUCAUGCAGUUUCCACUAUUUUAUUUAUGUCAUCCUAAUACAUGUUUCCGGAGUUAAAUAUACAUGGGUUUUCUAACUUAACACUUUCUAGGUCUGUGACUUGGCACAGAACACUUUAUAUCAUGAAGUGAUAUACGUAAUUUGUUACGUGAGAUAUGUAAAAAUUUGUUUAUGUAAGGGGACAAUGAUGCUAUUGAUUGAUGGCCUAACCAACUGUUGACAACAGAGUGCUGUUUCAGUCAGGUAUUCAUGUCAAUGUGUCUUAUGCCAGGGGAUUAAUUUUUAUUUCUAGAUUGGUCAUAGUGAUCCUAUUCCCAUUUGUCAAUGACUGCUUAAGUUAGGCCAUAUGACCAUUUCUGGACCAUGGAUCCAAAGGGAAAUCUGCUGAAGAAUAUUGGGAAAGAUUUCCCUCCCUGACAACAAGAGAGACUUGAGAAAACAGCAAGCCCAUCUUUCUUGCUUCAUAAUUUUAGACAUUACUGUGUGAUUCUAUGAUGGUUGGUGCCACAGCAGCCAUCUUGCAAUCAUGAGGGGGAAAAAAAAGAAAACAUCUAACUCUAGAAAUAAAUAUCUCCACUGGUCAGCCAUUUUUACAUGUUGUAGGAUCUGAAAAUUACACUAUGUUGUAUACACUCUUUAAGUAAAAGAAUACAGAAUUUAAAAUGUGAAAAUUAGAUAUGAAAAUAAAUAUUUAUUUAGAAUGAGAAGGGAAGCCACAGCAGUAUCCAAAUUUUAAAACCUGAUAAAUGCCCACAUCAUAAAAAUUUUAAAAAUAAUAGUUUUUGUUACAAUCUGACUAAUAAACCUCUAUAAUAUUUCUAUUCUACAUGUUGAGGCUGUCCUCACAUAGAAAUGAUUUUAUAAAAAUACUUGCCAUAGAGAGAAUAAUUUUAACAUUUUUCUACAUGGCUAAUGAAAAAUUAAUAUGACCCUUGAUGGUUUAGGAAAUUUUAUUUCAGCUCCACAACUCAUUAUUAAUAAUGCCAUGAAAAACUUUAGGAUUUUCACUAAAUCUGGGAAAAGCUCUAAGUAGUUUGGGAGUUCCCUUUGUGGCGCAGCGGAAAUGAAUCUGACUAGGACCAUGAGGUUGCAGAUUCAAUCCCUGGCCUCUCUCAGUGGGUUAAGGAUCCAACUUAGCUGUGAGCUGUGGUGUAGGUCACAGACGUGGCUUGGAUCCUGCAUUGCUGUGACUGUGUGUAGCUCUGAUUCGACCCCUAGCCUGGGAAUGUCCAUAUGCCACCACCAGUGUGGCCCUAAAAAGACAAAAGACAAAGCUCUAGGUAUUUUUUUUUUUUCAGAAGUGGUUUAUGUGCCUUUCAAAAAUUUUCCACAGACUAGCUUCUGACUCCCUUUAAACCUAUUUUCUCCUUUGUUACCUGCAUUUCUUCUGUCCCCAUUUAAAUACCACCUCCGACCCUGGUGUUCUGGAUCAAUAUACCAAGAUGAGUCAGCACGGUGGUGGCAGGAGUACUCCUAGAAGCCAUAAGGAUAAGUUCUCCCAGGUAGCUUAGAGUAACUUUUCAUGUAGAGUAACUUGGAGUAACUAUACAUGAAAAUGAAUGAGAAUCACCUAAACAUAUCCCACUAAACCCCAUCCUACAAUAUUACUGCAGCCAAAUCCCAAAUCCCCAGAUGCUCCCAGCCCCUCCAGCAGCAACCACCACCAGGUGAUGUGUAACAAAGGAGAACUUCCAGGAGAAAGAAUCCCCACCCUUACCCCAUUGCCGUUCAUACAUCUGAGUUUGACAGAUUUUCCAAACAACUUCUGAUGAUAGGAACACAUUGCUAGGGCUUUAGACAUGCAAGUGAGAGGGUCCUAAAACUUAUGCAUUAUUUGCUUGCCAGGAAACACAUCUCCUGUAGAUGACAGGCAUAUGCUGUGAGACUUGAAUGAAUCCAUAAUAGAAAUAAAAGUGCCUAGCACAAUGUCUGGCACACAAUGGACUUUGGAAUGUGACAGCAACUAUUAGAGUAGUAAUCAGUAUUAUUGAAGAUGGUACCUCCCAUAAUACCUUCUUUUUUCCUCCUGAAUGUGUUUUCAUUGCUUGAAUCAAAGGACCAAAACAAGUCUUUGAUCUUUGACUCACACUUUUCUACUUCUGGGUGGACUUUUUUUUUUUUUAGGUCCACACCUGCAACAUACAGAAGUUCCUGCGCCAAGGAUCAAAUUCAAGCCACAGCAGUGACAAUGCCAAGUCCUUAACCACUAGGCAACCUGGGAACUCUGUACACACUUUAAAAAAUUAUUUUAUUGAAGUACAGUUGACUUACAAUGUUGUGUUAAUUUCUGCUGUACAGCACAGUGAUUCGGUUAUACAUAAAUACAUUCUUUUUCAUAUUCUUUUCCAUCACGGUUUAUCACAGGAUAGUGAACAGAGUUCCCUGUGUUCUACAGUUGGGUCUUGUUGUUUAUCCUUUCUAUAUAUAAGAGUUUGCAUCUGCUUAGCCCAAACUCCCAAUCCCUCCUUCCCCCACCGCCCCUUGGUCAGAUACAAUUUUAAGGUUCGUUUUCCAAUAUGAAACUUGUUCCUGAUAACCCUUUAGUUUUCAAGGGUUAACAUUUCCUAAGCAUGGUGAGGGUGAAGGUCUCUGUAAUGGCAGUGAACAGGAAAUCAAAAUGACGUCUUUCCAAUCAAUAGUUUUAUGAUUACUUUUUAAAAUUACAUCUUUGCCCUAAAAUUGGCAUGCUAUAUUUAGUCACCAUCACCAAGAGACAUCUGCCCAAUGAGGCAACGGCACUUUUUAUAAGUGAUACGUCAUCUAUUUAUUUCGGCAGCUAAGUACCUUCUGGCACAACAAACAGCCACCUUUGGAAACAAAGAUGGAAAUUUGGGUGCCUUAACAGAUAUGGGUUGUCUAAAAUUACAGACGGUGCUAAUUAACUGGAACACGGAAUUAGAACCUGCAGUUCAGAAAAUAUGCAGGAAAAAUAGAGUGUUUCUCAGAAACUUUAGCACCGGGGAGCUAAGCUGACUGUUUCAAGGAUGCGAAAUUGAUAAGAAUUACGUACCAUUGUUAAAUCUCAAUAAACAAAGCCUGACAUCUUGUGACUGAAUUAGAUCAUUUAUCUGCUCAAAGAGAGGGUGUUUAAAGUAAAUUCCCUUUCACUGAUAAAAAUUAUGAAUAAACCUAGUGAAAAAGAUACUAUCUGUGGGAGGGAAGCUGAAAUUGACCAUCACUUCAUUGAUGUUUAACAAAUUAAUUUUUUCUUGUUCUUUUUUUUUCUUUUUUUUCUUUUUUCUUCUUUUUAGGGCCGCACCCAUGGCACAUGGAGGUUCUCAGGCUAGGGGUCCAAUCGGAGCUACAGCUGCACCACAGCCAGAGCAUUGCAGGAUCCGAGCUGCAUCUGUGACCUACACCACAGCUCACGGCAAUGUGGGAUCCUUAACCCAGUGAGCAAGGCCAGGGCUCAAACUGCAUCCUCAUGGAUACUAGUCAGAUUCGUUUCCCUGAGCCACAAAGGGAACUCCUGUUAUUAGUAUUCUUGAAUUUCGAACAUGAAUGAAUUGCUUAGGAUAUUUAAAAAAAAAAAAAAUCAGGAGUUCCUGUCGUGGCUCAGUGGUUAAUGAAUCCGACUAGGAACCAUGAGGUUGUGGGUUUGAUCCCUGGCCUUGCUCAGUGGGUUAAGGAUCCAACUUAGCUGUGAGCUGUGGUAUACGACGUGGCUCGGAUCCUGCAUUGCUGUGGCUCUGGUGUAGGGCAGCGGCUACAGCUCCUAUUUGACCCCUAGGCUGGGAAUCUCCAUAUGCCAUGGGUGUGGCCCUA